AGUGAACGCUGGCGGUAGGCCUAACACAUGCAAGUCGAACGGCAGCACAGUAAGAGCUUGCUCUUACGGGUGGCGAGUGGCGGACGGGUGAGGAAUACAUCGGAAUCUACUUUUUCGUGGGGGAUAACGUAGGGAAACUUACGCUAAUACCGCAUACGACCUACGGGUGAAAGCAGGGGAUCUUCGGACCUUGCGCGACUGAAUGAGCCGAUGUCGGAUUAGCUAGUUGGCGGGGUAAAGGCCCACCAAGGCGACGAUCCGUAGCUGGUCUGAGAGGAUGAUCAGCCACACUGGAACUGAGACACGGUCCAGACUCCUACGGGAGGCAGCAGUGGGGAAUAUUGGACAAUGGGCGCAAGCCUGAUCCAGCCAUACCGCGUGGGUGAAGAAGGCCUUCGGGUUGUAAAGCCCUUUUGUUGGGAAAGAAAAGCAGCAGGUUAAUACCCCGCUGUCCUGACGGUACCCGAUGAAUAAGCACCGGCUAACUUCGUG
This 492-nucleotide ribosomal RNA is filed under the name uncultured bacterium. Its description in RNAcentral is "partial 16S ribosomal RNA". It matches the Rfam family "Bacterial small subunit ribosomal RNA", at positions 29 to 507 of the family's 1533-position model. The record is from RNAcentral.